RNAcentral lists this ribosomal RNA (1271 nucleotides) under Limnoraphis robusta. Its description in RNAcentral is "16S ribosomal RNA". It matches the Rfam family "Bacterial small subunit ribosomal RNA", at positions 369 to 1533 of the family's 1533-position model. RNAcentral also lists the same sequence under 1 other name. Lineage: Bacteria; Bacillati; Cyanobacteriota; Cyanophyceae; Oscillatoriales; Sirenicapillariaceae. The record is from RNAcentral.
CAAUGGGCGCAAGCCUGACGGAGCAAGACCGCGUGGGGGAGGAAGGCUCUUGGGUUGUAAACCCCUUUUCUCAGGGAAGAACCAAAUGACGGUACCUGAGGAAUCAGCCUCGGCUAACUCCGUGCCAGCAGCCGCGGUAAUACGGAGGAGGCAAGCGUUAUCCGGAAUGAUUGGGCGUAAAGCGUUCGUAGGUGGCUAUUCAAGUCUGCUGUCAAAGACAGAAGCUCAACUUCUGAAAGGCAGUGGAAACUGAGUAGCUGGAGUGCGGUAGGGGCAGAGGGAAUUCCCGGUGUAGCGGUGAAAUGCGUAGAGAUCGGGAAGAACACCGGUGGCGAAAGCGCUCUGCUGGGCCGCAACUGACACUGAGGGACGAAAGCUAGGGGAGCGAAUGGGAUUAGAUACCCCAGUAGUCCUAGCUGUAAACGAUGGAAACUAGGUGUUGCCUGUAUCGACCCAGGCAGUGCCGUAGCUAACGCGUUAAGUUUCCCGCCUGGGGAGUACGCACGCAAGUGUGAAACUCAAAGGAAUUGACGGGGGCCCGCACAAGCGGUGGAGUAUGUGGUUUAAUUCGAUGCAACGCGAAGAACCUUACCAGGGCUUGACAUGUCCGGAACCCUGGCGAAAGCUAGGGGUGCCUUCGGGAGCCGGAACACAGGUGGUGCAUGGCUGUCGUCAGCUCGUGUCGUGAGAUGUUGGGUUAAGUCCCGCAACGAGCGCAACCCUCGUUCUUAGUUGCCAUCAUUAAGUUGGGCACUCUAGGGAGACUGCCGGUGACAAACCGGAGGAAGGUGGGGAUGACGUCAAGUCAUCAUGCCCCUUACGUCCUGGGCUACACACGUACUACAAUGGGAAGGACAGAGGGCAGCCACUUCGCGAGGAGGAGCUAAUCCCGUAAACCUUUCCUCAGUUCAGAUUGCAGGCUGCAACUCGCCUGCAUGAAGGAGGAAUCGCUAGUAAUCGCAGGUCAGCAUACUGCGGUGAAUCCGUUCCCGGGCCUUGUACACACCGCCCGUCACACCAUGGAAGUUAGCCAUGCCCGAAGUCAUUACUCUAACCUUUCGAGGAGGAGGGUGCCGAAGGCAGGGCUGAUGACUGGGGUGAAGUCGUAACAAGGUAGCCGUACCGGAAGGUGUGGCUGGAUCACCUCCUUUUUAGGGAGACCAAACUUCGGUUGAGCUAACCCCAAUUUACAAGCCAACUGAGGUCAUCCCAGGUCGUGCGAGGAAUUGAGUAACUACUAGGCUUUCAAACUUUCGGUUCGGAUWUUAUGA